Molecule: long non-coding RNA, 655 nt
Filed under: Equus caballus (horse)
Lineage: Eukaryota; Metazoa; Chordata; Mammalia; Perissodactyla; Equidae
Description: lncRNA (ENSECAG00000032320.3)
Source: RNAcentral
UAUGACUCUGCAGGUGGGGCCCUCUCUGAGAUCGCCAUGAACAACCCAGGGGAAGACAGGCCUGAGGCAAGCAACGGCUUGCUGGCCCAAGGGAUUCACCAGAGGAAAGCAGUCUCCUUCAUUUCCCUUCCCUCCCUCUGCACACACUCUCUGUGGACUGGGAGGUGAGAAGUGGACUGGUGAUGCCGAUUACUGGGUCAUGAUAUGGUCCUGCUGAGAAUCCCUGGGCUUCCCGGUUUGCUCCGAGCAGACUCCCUUGGCAGGUGGCCUCUUGACCCUUGUUCAGUGACUAGGCUUUACCACAGAUAACCAGGUUUCCAGGAUGAUGAACUCCUGCCCUUACAUUUCCAAGUAUGUCCUUCCCCCUCUACACAUACACCCCUCCACCUCUGUCCCCACUGCUGCGCUCCUCCACUUUGUUAGGGUUCCGGUUGCUGACCAGAACACCAGGGCUCACUGGUGUAAGACUGUUUACUGACUUUGCCACACUCUUGGGUGUAGUCAGCCUUCCUACCCUCUACUGCCCACAUCCAGAGCCUUGUCUGUCCUGGUGGGCAAGUUUCAUGCCAGGACCUGGCUCCCUCUAGCCCCUCCCUGCCUUCCCAUUCCAAAAAUAUGACACAUUGCAAUGACCCUGAAUGCGUAACAGGCUGAG